GAUGAAGAACGUAGCGAAAUGCGAUAAGUAAUGUGAAUUGCAGAAUUCAGUGAAUCAUCGAAUCUUUGAACGCACAUUGCGCCCGCCAGUAUUCUGGCGGGCAUGCCUGUUCGAGCGUCAUUUCAACCAUCAAGCCCCCGGCUUGUGUUGGGGACCUGCGGCUGCCGCAGGCCCUGAAAAGCAGUGGCGGGCUCGCUGUCACACCGAGCGUAGUAGCAUACAUCUCGCUCUGGGCGUGCUGCGGGUUCCGGCCGUUAAACCACCUCCAUAACCCAAGGUUGACCUCGGAUCAGGUAGGAAGACCCGCUGAACUUAAGCAUAUCAAUAAGCGGAGGA
This 336-nucleotide unclassified non-coding RNA is filed under the name soil metagenome. RNAcentral describes it as "partial contains 5.8S ribosomal RNA, internal transcribed spacer 2, and large subunit ribosomal RNA". The stretch from base 1 to 120 matches the Rfam family "5.8S ribosomal RNA", at positions 35 to 154 of the family's 154-position model. The record is from RNAcentral.